GGAAGCUGGCGAGGCCGAGCCCCGCGUAGUGCUUCCUUGACCUUGCUCCUUGAACACUCGCAUGUGGCGGUGGAUCUUACUCCUUCCAGCCAGUGAGGAUCCAGCAACCUGCUCCGUGCCUCCCGCGCCUGUUGGUUGGAAGUGACGACUUUGAAGAUCGGCCGGUUGGAAGUGACGACCUUGAAGAUCGGCGGGCGCAGCGGGGCUGAGGGGGCGGGUCUGGCGCUAGGUCCCGCCCCUGCGUGCCGGGAACCCCAGAGGAGGUCGCAGUUCAGCCCAGCUGAGGCCUGUCUGCAGAAUCCACACCAAACAGCAUCAUGUCCAUGACACUGGGAUACUGGGACAUCCGCGGGCUGGCCCACGCCAUCCGCCUGCUCCUGGAAUACACAGACUCAAGCUACGAGGAAAAGAAGUACACGAUGGGGGACGCUCCUGACUAUGACAGAAGCCAGUGGCUGAAUGAAAAAUUCAAGCUGGGCCUGGACUUUCCCAAUCUGCCCUACUUGAUUGAUGGGACUCACAAGAUCACCCAGAGCAACGCCAUCGUGCGCUACAUUGCCCGCAAGCACAACCUGUGUGGGGAGACAGAAGAGGAGAAUAUUCGUGUGGACAUUUUGGAGAACCAGGCUAUGGACGUCUCCAAUCAGCUGGCCAGAGUCUGCUACAGCCCUGACUUUGAGAAACUGAAGCCAGAAUACUUGGAGGGACUUCCUACAAUGAUGCAGCACUUCUCACAGUUCCUGGGGAAGAGGCCAUGGUUCGUUGGAGACAAGAUCACCUUUGUAGAUUUCCUCGCCUAUGAUGUCCUUGACCUCCACCGUAUAUUUGAGCCCAAGUGCUUGGACGCCUUCCCAAAUCUGAAGGACUUCAUCUCCCACUUUGAGGGCUUGGAGAAGAUCUCUGCCUACAUGAAGUCCAGCCGCUUCCUCCCAAAACCUCUGUACACAAGGGUGGCUGUCUGGGGCAACAAGUAAUGCCUUGAAGGCCAGGAGGUUUCCUGUGGCAUAAUGUGAUGGUUAAUUUUCUGCGUCAACUUGACUGGGCUACAGGAUGCUCACAUGGCAGCAAUGAAGGAAGUAUCCACCAAACUGUCAGGGCCCAGACAGAAGAAAAACACAGGAAGGUUGAAUUUGAUCUUUCUGACUGGGACAUCCAUCUCUGCCUAUCCUGGGACAUCCACACUCCUGGUUCUCUGGCCUUCAGACUUGAUCAGGGUCUCACUCUGUCACCCAGGCUGGAGGGCAGUGAUGUGAUCACGGCUCAUUGCAGCCUCGACUUCUCAGGCUCCAAUGAUCCUCCCACCUCAGCCUCUCAAGUAGCUGGGACCACAGGUAAAGGGCCAUCAUGGCCAGCUAAUUUUCAUAUAUUUGGUAGACAAUGUUUCACCAUGCUUCCCAGGCUGGGUGGAUACUUUUCAAAAAUAAGUUCAGUUCAUCCUGCCUAGCCUUGCUCCAGCAGCUCUAGAGGAAUUACCCACUCUGGUGCUGGGCUCAGGCUGCCUGGCUCUGGAAUAAUGUGCUCAGAGCUGCAGGGGGUGCCUGCUGUCUGACUGGCAGAGAGAGUCCCAUACUCCCUACCCUGUACCCUGGAAGACCAGGCUGCCCAGCCUGUCCACCUGGUAGACCAUUUCCCUGCCCAGUUCUCCUUCUCUCAUUCCUGAUGUGCAGCUUGAUGCCUGCAGGGACUGCGCCAGCUGAGAUUGUCUCUAGGUCCUCGCUUCUGCCAGCUGGUGUCCAGGGAAGUGGGUCCUCUGGUCUCCUUCCUGCCACCAGAAUUUUGAGGACCUUGUUUCUCCCACUGCAACUUUUGACCCAUUCCUGGGUUUCUUUUUCUUUUUUUUUGAGAUGGACUCUUACUCUGUUGCUCAGGCUGGAGUGCAGUGGUACAACCUCAGCUCACUACAACCUCCGCCUCCCUGGUUCAAGCGAUUCUCCUGCCUCAGCCUCCUGAGUAGCUGGGAUUACAGGCACCCGCCACCAGGCCUGGCUAAUUUUUUUGCAUUUUUAGUAGAGUCGGGAUUUCACCACGUUGGCCAGGUUUUAGACUAGGGUUUCUUCACCUCAGCAGUACUGUCAUUUUGGAGGGCAGAAUUAUUUGUUGUGGGGCGCUGUCCUGAGCAUUGCAGGGUGUUCAGCAUCCUACCCAAACUCUACACACUAGAUGCCAUGGGCGCUUCCCAGUGGUGACAAUUAACAAAGUCUCCAGACAGACCUACAUGUCCCCUGAGGGGCAAAGUUACCUCCACUUGAAGACCAGUGGUGUCCUGGAUGGAUACUAAUAUUAAAAUAAUAAUAAUAAUAACAGAAAUCAUAAUAUAACUCAUGUAGUUAAGGUAAGUCCUUUUUGAUGGAACAUUUGUUUCAGUUAAUAUUAUUUGUGUAUGUCUGUCCUGGUAGUUUUUUUUUUAACUUUUUAUUUUGAUUUAAUAUCAGAGUUUGAGAAAUUUGCAAAAA
Molecule: RNA transcript, 2453 nt
Organism: Pongo pygmaeus (Bornean orangutan)
Lineage: Eukaryota; Metazoa; Chordata; Mammalia; Primates; Hominidae
Gene: GSTM4
Gene name: glutathione S-transferase mu 4
Exons: 11
Source: RefSeq, a predicted model, not a curated record